RNAcentral lists this ribosomal RNA (746 nucleotides) under uncultured cyanobacterium. RNAcentral describes it as "bacterial SSU rRNA". It matches the Rfam family "Bacterial small subunit ribosomal RNA", at positions 8 to 796 of the family's 1533-position model. The record is from RNAcentral. Lineage: Bacteria; Bacillati; Cyanobacteriota.
AGAGUUUGAUCAUGGCUCAGGAUGAACGCUGGCGGUAUGCUUAACACAUGCAAGUCGAACGGAGUGCUUCGGCACUUAGUGGCGGACGGGUGAGUAACGCGUGAGAAUCUGGCUUCGGGUUCGGGACAACAGUGGGAAACUGCUGCUAAUACCGGAUGUGCCUAAAGGUAAAAGAUUAAUUGCCCGAAGAUGAGCUCGCGUCCGAUUAGCUAGUUGGUGUGGUAAGAGCGCACCAAGGCGUCGAUCGGUAGCUGGUCUGAGAGGACGAUCAGCCACACUGGGACUGAGACACGGCCCAGACUCCUACGGGAGGCAGCAGUGGGGAAUUUUCCGCAAUGGGCGAAAGCCUGACGGAGCAAUACCGCGUGAGGGAGGAAGGCUCUUGGGUUGUAAACCUCUUUUCUCAGGGAAGAACAAAAUGACGGUACCUGAGGAAUCAGCAUCGGCUAACUCCGUGCCAGCAGCCGCGGUAAUACGGAGGAUGCAAGCGUUAUCCGGAAUGAUUGGGCGUAAAGCGUCCGCAGGUGGCUUAUCAAGUCGAUUGUCAAAGGUCCUGGCUCAACUGGGAACAGGCAGUGGAAACUGAAAAGCUAGAGUGCGGUAGGGGUAGAGGGAAUUCCCGGUGUAGCGGUGAAAUGCGUAGAGAUCGGGAAGAACACCAGUGGCGAAAGCGCUCUACUAGGCCUGCACUGACACUCAUGGACGAAAGCUAGGGGAGCGAAUGGGAUUAGAUACCCCGGUAGUCC